AGAGUUUGAUCAUGGCUCAGAACGUACGCUGGCGGCACGCCUAACACAUGCAAGUCGAACGAAGUAGCAAUACUUAGUGGCAGACGGGUGAGUAACAUGUAGGUAUCUACCCUUUGGCCUGGAAUAACACGAGGAAACUUGUGCUAAUACCGGAUAAGUCUUUACGGAGAAAGCCUUAUGCACCAUUGGAUGAGCCUGCACUUGAUUAGUUUGUUGGCGGGGUAAUGGCCUACCAAGACUGUGAUCAAUAGCUGAUUUGAGAGGAUGAUCAGCCACAUUGGGACUGAGACACGGCCCAAACUCCUACGGGAGGCAGCAGUGGGGAAUCUUGCACAAUGGAGGAAACUCUGAUGCAGCGAUGCCGCGUGAGUGAAGAAGGCCUUUGGGUUGUAAAGCUCUUUCGUCGGGGAAGAAAAUGACUGUACCCGAAUAAGAAGGUCCGGCUAACUUCGUGCCAGCAGCCGCGGUAAUACGAAGGGACCUAGCGUAGUUCGGAAUUACUGGGCUUAAAGAGUUCGUAGGUGGUUGAAAAAGUUAGUGGUGAAAUCCCAGAGCUUAACUCUGGAACUGCCAUUAAAACUUUUCAGCUAGAGUAUGAUAGAGGAAAGCAGAAUUUCUAGUGUAGAGGUGAAAUUCGUAGAUAUUAGAAAGAAUACCAAUUGCGAAGGCAGCUUUCUGGAUCAUUACUGACACUGAGGAACGAAAGCAUGGGUAGCGAAGAGGAUUAGAUACCCUCGUAGUCCAUGCCGUAAACGAUGUGUGUUAGACGUUGGAAAUUUAUUUUCAGUGUCGCAGCGAAAGCGAUAAACACACCGCCUGGGGAGUACGACCGCAAGGUUAAAACUCAAAUGAAUUGACGGGGACCCGCACAAGUAGUGGAGCAUGUGGUUUAAUUCGAAGAUACGCGCAGAACCUUACCAACACUUGACAUGUUCGUCGCGACUCUAAGAGAUUAGAGUUUUCGGUUCGGCCGGACGAAACACAGGUGCUGCAUGGCUGUCGUCAGCUCGUGUCGUGAGAUGUUGGGUUAAGUCCCGCAACGAGCGCAACCCUCACUUUUAGUUGCCAUCAUUAAGUUGGGCACUCUGAAAGAACUGCCAGUGAUAAGCUGGAGGAAGGUGGGGAUGACGUCAAGUCCUCAUGGCCCUUACGUGUUGGGCUACACACGUGCUACAAUGGUAUCUACAACAGGAGGCAAGACUGCGAGGUCAAGCAAAUCCUUAGAAGAUACCUCAGUUCGGAUUGCACUCUGCAACUCGAGUGCAUGAAGCUGGAAUUACUAGUAAUCGUGGAUCAGCGUGCCACGGUGAAUGCGUUCCCGGGUCUUGUACACACCGCUCGUCACACCAUGGGAGUUGGUUCUACCUUAAGGCAAGGUUUAAAACCCUUGACCACGGUAUAGUCAGCGACUGGGGUGAAGUCGUAACAAGGUAGCCAAGGG
Molecule: ribosomal RNA, 1441 nt
Filed under: uncultured Candidatus Pelagibacter sp.
Lineage: Bacteria; Pseudomonadati; Pseudomonadota; Alphaproteobacteria; Candidatus Pelagibacterales; Candidatus Pelagibacteraceae
Description: bacterial SSU rRNA
Rfam family: Bacterial small subunit ribosomal RNA
Source: RNAcentral